CUGGGGCUGGAGAUGAGAAAAGAUACAGCACAAAUUUUUACCCUGCAAACUCAUGAGAAAUUAUUCUGGAAAAGUCAAGGCUUCGUGGCAAAAGAUCUCCUUUUUCAACCUGCUUUGUAAAAGACACCUGGAGGAUUUACAACUUGACUUUCUAUGAGGGCAGAAGGCGUAACAUGCCUUCAAGAGUCGUCGUGUUCCUCUACUUUACCUACAACACCUGCAACAAUGAACGUGAAGACCUGUGGCGAACCCUGCUCUGAUUACUUCAGGGGCCCUGAGUAGGAAGCAAUAUCUUUGCUGGUGAUUUGCCAUUAAUGCCCAGGCCCUAACCCAAUCGUGGCUGGUCUCUGAGAUACACUGAUUUCUGAAAGAAGUGAUAUACGUAAGUAAUACAGUACUGCUUUUUAAAAUAGACGCUUUGCACAUGCCUUGUAAAUAAAAAUCCACACUUGUUUUAAGAAAGCACUUUAAUAUGCUAGGGACAAUGAAUUUUUAGUAUCUAAUUUGACCUCUUGAUAGCACUUCUGGUAAAUCUGAAGUUAACUAACAGGUUUCCUCCACACUUCGUAUUUUCAGUCUUUGGUUGACAGUGCUAUUUAAAACAAAAAAAAAAAGGCUACUUAGUUAG
RNAcentral lists this long non-coding RNA (628 nucleotides) under Canis lupus familiaris (dog). RNAcentral describes it as "lncRNA (ENSCAFG00040005223.1)". Lineage: Eukaryota; Metazoa; Chordata; Mammalia; Carnivora; Canidae. The record is from RNAcentral.